GUCGUGGAUUCUCGCCGCCUUCCUCUGCGACUUCUUCUUUAGCUCGUCGCUGGUGACCUCUUCAAUUCGUGGAAAGUUGUCACUGAAAGGUCAUGCUGAAGAUCAAGUCUGAUAUAUGAUAGUGCAGCAAUUUGAGAGUUUGAAGAGGAGGCAGUAGUGUGUACUUUUUAGUUCUCAUUUGGUUCCCUUUAAGAUAUGUUUACAGUACUUUUGUAAAACGAUAAAUCAUGAAGUUUGUAGUUUUUCAUAAUUGAGACCUUAAUCCAUGUACCUUGUACUAUUUAUUU
Long non-coding RNA from Rosa rugosa (rugosa rose), 287 nucleotides. RefSeq lists it as uncharacterized. NCBI's taxonomy places the organism in Eukaryota, Viridiplantae, Streptophyta, Magnoliopsida, Rosales, Rosaceae. The transcript has 2 exons. The record is from RefSeq and is a predicted model, not a curated record.